This is a long non-coding RNA of Canis lupus familiaris (dog), 862 nucleotides long. RefSeq lists it as uncharacterized. The transcript has 3 exons. The record is from RefSeq and is a predicted model, not a curated record. Lineage: Eukaryota; Metazoa; Chordata; Mammalia; Carnivora; Canidae.
AGGAUCUGAUGGUAUGAAUGGCCGCCAAGAUCAAUAAUACCAGGAGAACUGCUGCCAUCCACAUCCACAGACGCAGGUUUGAAUCAAUGGGAACUUCGGAAAUCAUUGCAGACCACUAACAUCAUUGGUGUGACAGACUUCUGAUCACAAGGUGGUCCAAGGAGGAAAGAAAGAAAUUAACAGACAAAAUUCAGAUGAGAACCAGUCUUUUCCUCCUGGAGUCCAGAGAGUUACACAGGUACCCGUGGUUGAAUGCGGCCAGAAGCCGAAGCCGAAGCCAAAGAAUGCGGCCAGGAUCAUCCGAAGCAGGUGAUCCUCCUUCGGAUGCAUCAUUGAGUCAACAGCAGCCUAACCGUACAUCGCAUGCCUGUGUCACUCACCUUACUUCUUAUCACGGGGACAUUCCGUCACCCACACCAUCACCACAAGAAGAAGGGUGAGCUCAGUACAAGAAGAUAUUUUGAGAGAGGGAGACUGAGAGCGCAUUCCCGUUACUUUUAUUAUAAUAUAUUGUUAUAAGUAUUCUAUUCUUUAUUAGUUACUGCUGCUAAUCUCUCCCUGUGCCUAAUGUAUAAGCGUCACUUUGUCACAGGUGGGUAUGCAUAGGUACAAAUAAAGCAUAUGUUUGGUACUAUGUGUGAUUCAGGCACCUGCUGGGAGUCUUGGAAUGGUCCCUGCAGGUGAAGGGGCCUCUUGCUAAUGGUGAAGUCUCUUCUAAAGAGAAAUCUCAGACUAUUAGAUCAAUAUUUUAUUCUAAUGCUGAUCAACCGUCUCUAUAAAUGUCAUCUCUCCCCCACCUUCCAAAUAAAACAAGAUAAUGUUUUCCUACAAAAGAAUUGAGAAUAGGCCUGCCUAUUUUUGC